UGGAAAACUGGAAGGUAUAGAAACUACCCACCAGAGCUGCUAGUAGAUAUUGUAGCGAGGAUUCUGUCGAUGGUACCGCCAUGGACACGAGUCUAUCGGGUCCAGAGAGAUAUCCCUAUGCCUCUUGUUACGUCUGGUGUCGUGAAAGGUAACCUGCGUGAGCUUGCUUUGGCUCGAAUGGAAGACCUGGGCUUGAAAUGCAGAGAUGUCAGAACCCGUGAGGCUGGAAUUCAGGAUAUCCAUCACAAUAUCAGGCCUGAUGAAGUAGAGCUUGUCAGGCGUGAUUAUGCCGCAAAUGAUGGCUGGGAGACCUUUCUCUCAUAUGAG
Long non-coding RNA from Hordeum vulgare subsp. vulgare (domesticated barley), 327 nucleotides. RefSeq lists it as uncharacterized. The transcript has 3 exons. Lineage: Eukaryota; Viridiplantae; Streptophyta; Magnoliopsida; Poales; Poaceae. The record is from RefSeq and is a predicted model, not a curated record.